RNAcentral lists this ribosomal RNA (601 nucleotides) under Aeromonas veronii. RNAcentral's name for it is "bacterial SSU rRNA". It matches the Rfam family "Bacterial small subunit ribosomal RNA", at positions 822 to 1422 of the family's 1533-position model. The record is from RNAcentral. Lineage: Bacteria; Pseudomonadati; Pseudomonadota; Gammaproteobacteria; Aeromonadales; Aeromonadaceae.
GGCUGUGUCCUUGAGCCGUGGCUUCAGGAGUUAACGCGUUAAGUUGACCGCCUGGGGAGUACGGCCGCAAGGUUAAAACUCAAAUGAAUUGACGGGGGCCCGCACAAGCGGUGGAGCAUGUGGUUUAAUUCGAUGCAACGCGAAGAACCUUACCUGCCCUUGACAUGUCUGGAAUCUUGCAGAGAUGCGUGAGUGCCUUCGGGAAUCAGAACACAGGUGUUGCAUGGCUGUCGUCAGUUCGUGUCGUGAGAUGUUGGCUUAAGUCCCGCAACGAGCGCAACCCCUGUCCUUUGUUGCCAGCACGUAAUGCUGGGAACUCAAGGGAGCCUGCCGGUGAUAAACCGGAGGAAGGUGGGGAUGACGUCAAGUCAUCAUGGCCCUUACGUCCAGGGCUACACACGUGCUACAAUGGCGCGUACAGAGGGCUGCAAGCUAGCGAUAUUGAGCGAAUCCCAAAAAGCUCGUCGUAGUCCGGAUCGGAGUCUGCAACUCGACUCCGUGAAGUCGGAAUCGCUAGUAAUCGCAAAUCAGAAUGUCGCGGUGAAUACGUUCCCGGGCCUUGUACACACCGCCCGUCACACCAUGGGAGUGGGUUGCACCA